UACAGAGGUCUCACGCGUUGUUCGGAUUCAUUGGGCGUAAAGGGUGCGUAGGCGGGAUGACAAGUCUGUUGUUAAAUAUCCUGGCUCAACCAGGAAAGUGCAAUGGAAACUGUUAUUCUAGAGGGUGAGAGAGGGAAGUGGAAUUCCAGGAGUUAGCGGUCAAAUGCGUAGAUCUCUGGAGGAACACCGAUGGCGAAGGCAGCUUCUUGGCUCAUUUCUGACGCUGAGGCACGAAAGCGUGGGGAGCAAACAGG
RNAcentral lists this ribosomal RNA (254 nucleotides) under uncultured bacterium. RNAcentral's name for it is "partial 16S ribosomal RNA". It matches the Rfam family "Bacterial small subunit ribosomal RNA", at positions 524 to 776 of the family's 1533-position model. The record is from RNAcentral.